RNAcentral lists this ribosomal RNA (546 nucleotides) under uncultured bacterium. RNAcentral's name for it is "partial 16S ribosomal RNA". It matches the Rfam family "Bacterial small subunit ribosomal RNA", at positions 355 to 914 of the family's 1533-position model. The record is from RNAcentral.
UGGGGAAUAUUGCACAAUGGGCGAAAGCCUGAUGCAGCAACGCCGCGUGAGUGAUGAAGGUCUUCGGAUUGUAAAGCUCUGUCUUUUGGGACGAUAAUGACGGUACCAAAGGAGGAAGCCACGGCUAACUACGUGCCAGCAGCCGCGGUAAUACGUAGGUGGCGAGCGUUGUCCGGAUUUACUGGGCGUAAAGGGUGCGUAGGCGGAUGUUUAAGUGAGAUGUGAAAUACCCGGGCUUAACUUGGGUGCUGCAUUUCAAACUGGAUAUCUAGAGUGCAGGAGAGGAGAAUGGAAUUCCUAGUGUAGCGGUGAAAUGCGUAGAGAUUAGGAAGAACACCAGUGGCGAAGGCGAUUCUCUGGACUGUAACUGACGCUGAGGCACGAAAGCGUGGGUAGCAAACAGGAUUAGAUACCCUGGUAGUCCACGCCGUAAACGAUGAGUACUAGGUGUAGGAGGUAUCGACCCCUUCUGUGCCGCAGUAAAACACAUUAAGUACUCCGCCUGGGAAGUACGAUCGCAAGAUUAAAACUCUAAAGUGAAUUGAC